RNAcentral lists this long non-coding RNA (363 nucleotides) under Cercocebus atys (sooty mangabey). Its description in RNAcentral is "lncRNA (ENSCATG00000045755.1)". Lineage: Eukaryota; Metazoa; Chordata; Mammalia; Primates; Cercopithecidae. The record is from RNAcentral.
UUUUCUUCUAAUAGAAUACAGCCUGGAAAGCUUGAAUUCUAGAUUUCUCAGUCUGUUUCACAGUUAGGAGAGACCACAUGACAGAGCUCUGUAUAAGGAGGUGGAGUUGCUGUUCAAAAGGGAAGAUGCUAGAAAGAUACCAGUUGAAGGAAUAAGAGAAAGGAACGAAAGGAACUAAAUCCUUGGAUCAUGUUGGCUGAAGCAAAUAAUUGUAACAGCACUCAAGAAAUGAAUGAAUACCACAGGGAAGAGCUUCAACCACCACUGCCCCUGACAACCUUAAUAGUAGACAUCAGCUGUCACCUGACAACAUUGUUCUGCAAAGCUUUAUUUUAAACUUCUCACCUUCCAGGACUAGGGGUA